CAGAACAUAGUUUAAGAAAACACUUCGCUUACACCGCAUUGAUGUCUGUUAGACCCAGACUGUUCUGAG
Molecule: transfer RNA, 69 nt
Filed under: Pristimantis schultei (Schulte's robber frog)
Lineage: Eukaryota; Metazoa; Chordata; Amphibia; Anura; Strabomantidae
Description: tRNA-Val
Rfam family: tRNA
About the family: Transfer RNA (tRNA) molecules are approximately 80 nucleotides in length. Their secondary structure includes four short double-helical elements and three loops (D, anti-codon, and T loops). Further hydrogen bonds mediate the characteristic L-shaped molecular structure. tRNAs have two regions of fundamental functional importance: the anti-codon, which is responsible for specific mRNA codon recognition, and the 3' end, to which the tRNAs corresponding amino acid is attached (by aminoacyl-tRNA synthetases). tRNAs cope with the degeneracy of the genetic code in two manners: having more than one tRNA (with a specific anti-codon) for a particular amino acid; and 'wobble' base-pairing, i.e. permitting non-standard base-pairing at the 3rd anti-codon position.
Source: RNAcentral